This 540-nucleotide ribosomal RNA is filed under the name uncultured bacterium. RNAcentral describes it as "bacterial SSU rRNA". It matches the Rfam family "Bacterial small subunit ribosomal RNA", at positions 775 to 1311 of the family's 1533-position model. The record is from RNAcentral.
AGAUAAUAGAUACCCAGGUAGUCCACGCCCUAAACGAUGUCGACUGGUUGUUGGGGGUUUGACACUCUCAGUAAACGAAAGCUAAACGCGUGAAGUCGACCGCCUGGGGAGUACGGCCGCAAGGUUAAAAACUCAAAGGAAUUGACGGGGACCCGCACAAGCGGUGGAUUAUGUGGAUUAAUUCGAUGCAACGCGAAAAACCUUACCUACCCUUGACAUGUCCGAGAGCCCGCUGAGAGGCGGGUGUGCCCGAAAGGGAAUCGGAACACAGGUGCUGCAUGGCUGUCGUCAGCUCGUGUCGUGAGAUGUUGGGUUAAGUCCCGCAACGAGCGCAACCCUUGCCAUUGGUUGCCACCCGUAAGGGGGGCACUCUAAUGGGACUGCCGGUGACAAACCGGAGGAAGGUGGGGAUGACGUCAAGUCCUCAUGGCCCUUAUGGGUAGGGCUUCACACGUAAUACAAUGGCGCGUACAGAGGGUUGCAAGGAGCGAUCUGAGCCAAUCCGUAAAGCGCGUCGUAGUCCGGAUUGCAGUCUGCAAC